Long non-coding RNA from Sarcophilus harrisii (Tasmanian devil), 471 nucleotides. RefSeq lists it as uncharacterized. The transcript has 3 exons. The record is from RefSeq and is a predicted model, not a curated record. Lineage: Eukaryota; Metazoa; Chordata; Mammalia; Dasyuromorphia; Dasyuridae.
GUUCGAGGAUUCCGAGCCUCAUAUGGAGAUCUGUAUUCGUAUCUUGAAGGAGGAAAGGAGAGGAAAGUAUCCGAGACAAUCUUUCUAGGUAUCCUGUAGUGAGAAGAAAACUGGGGGUAGACUUGUGGCUCUGACAUUUCCUGGCUGUGUGACCCUGGAAAGAAUCCUUCAUUUACACCAGAAGAUGAGAACACAAGAUACCCCUUCAAAUUCUGGACAAUUAAGUGUUGAUAUGCUUUAUACAUUCACAGUAUGUAUCACAAAAAUUAUAAACACUUACAAGAAAAUAAUAGAUUAGAUGAAGAGGAGAAAGGAUGUGUCAAAAAUAAGAUUAUAAAGAGCCCCUUAUCAUGCUUCCUUUUGUAUAUUGUCUUUCCUCCUUAGAUUGUAAACUUGUGAUCCGAAACUGUUUUCCUCCCUAAUUUGCAUCUCCAGAACUUAGCACAGGGUCUGGCACAUAGUGGGUGCUUA